UGGCCUGGUCGGAAGACCCGGGUCCACAUCAAUGACGGGCGAGACGCCC
RNAcentral lists this non-coding RNA (49 nucleotides) under unclassified sequences. RNAcentral's name for it is "DUF3800-XI RNA". It matches the Rfam family "DUF3800-XI RNA". From Rfam's summary of the family: Actinobacteria, Firmicutes, Proteobacteria, Spirochaetes (1 example). Nearby to DUF3800 The record is from Rfam by way of RNAcentral.